Molecule: ribosomal RNA, 409 nt
Filed under: uncultured bacterium
Lineage: Bacteria
Description: bacterial SSU rRNA
Rfam family: Bacterial small subunit ribosomal RNA
Source: RNAcentral
UGGUCUUGACAUAGAAAGAACUUUCCAGAGAUGGAUUGGUGCCUGCUUGCAGGAGCUUUCAUACAGGUGCUGCACGGCUGUCGUCAGCUCGUGUCGUGAGAUGUUGGGUUAAGUCCCGCAACGAGCGCAACCCUCGUCGUUAGUUGCUAACAGUUCGGCUGAGAACUCUAACGAGACUGCCUACGCAAGUAGGAGGAAGGUGGGGAUGACGUCAAGUCAUCAUGCCCCUUAUGUGCUGGGCUACACACGUGCUACAAUGGUUGGUACAGAGAGCAGCAAUACGGCGACGUGGAGCAAAUCUCAGAAAGCCAAUCUUAGUUCGGAUCGCAGUCUGCAACUCGACUGCGUGAAGUUGGAAUUGCUAGUAAUCGCGAAUCAGCAAUGUCGCGGUGAAUACGUUCUCGGGUCU